AAACACAUUUGCUUUUCACAGCUGUAUUGGGUUUGUGUGCCAAGGCUUUUGACAGCAGGGAUGCUUUAAGGUAGCUUCUGUGAGAAACUGCAAGAAGCUUCCCCUGUGCCCAACAGUUAAUCCCAGCCAGCUGCAGGAUGGACCCAAUGCUGGCCAAGACCAAGCCCUUCAGUGAUGAUGGUGGCACCUCUGAGAUAUAACUUUUUAGAAGGAGGGGAAGAGGAGAAAGGGAAAGGUGUGGGAGAAACCGCCCUGUAGACCCCAAGGUCAGUGAAUAUGGAGGAAAAGGAAGUGUUGCAAGUACUGGGACAGUAUGUCCCCAUGCUCUCUCAAAGGCACCCGUGCUGAAGCAGGUCAUGAAGAACUGCAGCCUGUGGGAAGGACCCAUACUAAAAAAGUUUGUGAAGGACUGUGUCCCAUGGGAGGAAUCCCAUGCUGGAACAACAAAAGAAAGCAAGGAUGAAGGAAUGGCAGAGACUACCUGACUACCUACUGCAGCUCCUCUUCCCUCUCCCCUUGCAUCACUGGAGGGAAAAGGUUGACCAUGAGAAGACUUUUAUCAGAUUUUCUCUGCCCUGCCCAGCUGAGGAGAAGAGGGAUAGGGCAGCUUUGGUAGGACACCUGAUGUCCAGCCAAGGACAACCCACCACAACAGCUGGUUCUCCAUGUGCAGCAGAAAAAUGGUGUUUUUCUUGUCAAGCUCUGAACUGCAAUUAAAAACAGCAGCAACAACAGAUCUACAUUCCCACCCAGGCUGGUGUCAUCUCCAGACUUCCUGAAUGUUCACUCAAUGAAUGAUGAGAAAGAACUCCAUUUCUUGAUUAGAAAAACAGUACACCUCUACUGCAAUGCUGGGAACCACCCUUGCCAAUGAAGGGGUGAGGAGGAGCUGGAGCAAAGCUUGAAGAAGUUGAGAGAAGGAGGGAAAAGGAUGAAAUCAAAAAAUGUGCCUGGGAAGCUGAAUACCUCACUGAGCAAAUAUCUCUGAACACUCCAGGCUCAGACCAUGUACCCCUACGUGUUUGUUCCUCUGCAUUUCAGAACACUGUGUGCAGCUCUGAUCACUCAGUCAUGAGAAGAACACUGCAGAACUAUAGAAGGGAAUAUUCAAAGAAGGGCAGCAAGGUUGGUGAGGAUGAAAAUAUUUGGACUGUACGUCUCUGUGAGGAAAAAAACAAGAAGACACAUAAAGAAAUACAGGAGAUAAUGAGUGAGACGGAGAAGAGAAUCCUGACCAGAAAGGACUAAUGGACCAUCUCUGUACAAAGAAAAGCAAGGUAUCAUCUCAUUUUCCCACCCCUGAUAGAGGCUGUUUUUCCAAGCUCCCACAAUGAUUCAGACCAGUUCAUCAGCCCCAAGGAUGACAGCAACAGGGAGAGAAGUCUCACUUCAUUGCCUCUCCUCUGAAGUUAUCAGGAUUUCUAUACAUUCAGCAUGGGACUAGAAGCUAAUAAAGGCAGAAACCAUCUUCAUGAUUAGAGCACAGAUGAACUGGGAAUUGGAAGAAACAGUACUACCACCUUCAGCAGAAAAACCUCCAAGCACUGCACAAACAUGCCUGGAUGAAGUCCCACAGUGCAAUCAUUAGAUGCAAUUCGCCUCCUAUGGCACACUGGAAAAUCACACACAACAGCCACAUGUCCUGCUGAGGGCUCAAAACAAGUCAGCAAGGGCUCUGAGAUCCGACCUAGGAAUUACAGGCUCCUGCUCCAGCCACUACAGUAUCGGCAACAAAGGAAGAUGAAAGUUUCAGAGCUACCCUGUGGACACAAAUAUAGCAGCAGGGCACUUUUCCUGCUAGUCUGAGCAGGUAGGCACAGGUGUAAUCACUACAUACAGACCCCCCCUAGCUUUCAGUCAGGACUUUUCACCUGGAAAAGCUUCAAUACGUGUGAAUAAGCUCACAGCAUCCAUCCAUUACAGUGCAAGCCACUUCCUCAGGCUUGUGACUAAAGGUGUUCUUCUUUCAGGAGAAAUACUUCCAGUGUCUGUCAGACAAGCAUUAAUGCACAAAAAUGA
Molecule: long non-coding RNA, 2019 nt
Organism: Passer domesticus (house sparrow)
Lineage: Eukaryota; Metazoa; Chordata; Aves; Passeriformes; Passeridae
Exons: 6
Source: RefSeq, a predicted model, not a curated record